CCUACGGGUGGCAGCAGUGAGGAAUAUUGGUCAAUGGGCGCGAGCCUGAACCAGCCAAGUCGCGUGAGGGAGGACGGCCCUACGGGUUGUAAACUUCUUUUGCCGGGGAGUAACGGGCGCCACGUGUGGCGUCAUUGAGAGUACCCGGAGAUAAAGCAUUGGCUAAUUCCGUGCCAGCAGCCGCGGUAUUACGGAGGAUGCGAGCGUUAUCGGGUUUUAUGGGGUUUAAAGGGUUCGAGGGCGGAUUGUAAGGUAAGUGGUCAAGUUGGGGGGUUAACCCCGUUCCCGCCAUUGAAACUGGCGUUCUUGAGUGGAAGAGAAGUAUGCGGAAUGCGUGGUGUAGCGGUGAAAUGCAUAGAUAUCACGCAGAACCCCGAUUGCGAAGGCAGCAUGCCGGCUUCCGACUGACGCUGAAGCACGAAAGCGUGGGGAUCGAACAGGAUUAGAUACCCUUGUAGUC
This 460-nucleotide ribosomal RNA is filed under the name uncultured bacterium. RNAcentral describes it as "partial 16S ribosomal RNA". It matches the Rfam family "Bacterial small subunit ribosomal RNA", at positions 338 to 795 of the family's 1533-position model. The record is from RNAcentral.